RNAcentral lists this non-coding RNA (180 nucleotides) under Eubacterium sp. RNAcentral's name for it is "6S RNA". It matches the Rfam family "6S / SsrS RNA". From Rfam's summary of the family: E. coli 6S RNA was the first non coding RNA to be sequenced, but its function was unknown until recently. The record is from RNAcentral. Lineage: Bacteria; Bacillati; Bacillota; Clostridia; Eubacteriales; Eubacteriaceae.
UUAUAUCUGGGAUGCACGAUAACUCCUGUAUAUUUUUGAACCUACACUUUUAAUACGGGAACCUAAAUCUGUAUAUGGAUGACCGGCCGUCUCAGAACGGACUUCAGAAGUAUACAUGCAGGAUCACCACCUGGCCUUGGCUGGGACUCAAAGGGCAGGAGCCGGCAUCCUGGAUAGUCA